ACCCUUGGCAGAAAACCCUAAAUCCAUCCCCCUUUUCCUAUUAUAAAUAUUCUCAAUCACAAUCAAUCUAUGCCAAAACAAUAGAUAGAGAAUGAUGAAAGAGAAAAAGCAUAGAAGAUGAAAGCAUGAGAUCUGGAAAUUUGUAUGUUCCCUUUGCAAAAUUGGCUUACCUCUUUCUUCAAAAGAGACUUUUCACUCUUUUCCAUCUCAAUAUCAUAUCUUCUUGAUUCUUUCUACUCAAGCUUGAAAAAGGCUAGAUCCAGUCCUUCAACCCCAUUGGUAGGCUUUAUGUUGAAAAGGAGGAAUUAUCAUAAUAAUUAUAAAAGGUCAUGGGCAUGCCCAACUUCAGUUUUUCAAAGAUCCUGUGUGUAGUAGUGGGUUAAGGGGAGUGUAGCGGUAUCCUACCUCUUUCUUUGGUUAUACAUUGGUUUAAGCUCACGAACAUAGAUGAUGAACCGAUAAGGAUGUUGCAGAUGUGAUGAAGGAGCCUCCAUAAGAUGCUCUUAAGCCUCUAAUAAAAGUUAAAUGAACAGGGGCACGAGGUUAAGUUGAGGAACAAGCAGUGGAAGGUUAUCAAGAGGGAACCUAGUCAUAGCUUGAGGAAAGAAACAAGAGCAGAAGAAAAACAAAAUCAAGUAACAAAGUCUCGUGGGCAGAAGAAGGUUUGUUUUGCAGAUGAUAAACCUAGAGCCACAAGUCAGAUUCUUCUUGACCAUGCUAGGAAACGUUCUGAAUAAUCAAUUAGGGGUUCCGUGGCAAUGGGAGCACGAGUUGUGCUUCAGUUAGAAGUACAGGACGACGGUGGGUUAAGAGGACCAAUAUUCAGUUGUCAAAGUCUCUCCAGUUGAUUAUCCGUUUUAUUCAGAGAGUGUUUGUUCUUAAGGUGUUCCAGGAACUAGUAGUUCGUGUCAGUGGGAGCCAUUAGGGACAAAAGAUGGGUCAGAGGCAGUUUUAGGCAUGACUGAUGUGUUGAAGCUCACAACGGGCCUUAAGGUUAACUGACAAGAAGGUCAUUACAGGCAGGAUAAGAUGAAGAAGACUACAAGAGGUAUAAAAGUCCACAACAGAAGGUAGUUUGAAGAUUAUCAAGCCUCUAAGUGGGUGAGUAUUAGAUUAUAUGUAGAGGCUCGAUUUGUCUUGUUUCAUAUAAUUAUAGACCAUUUAUUAGUUUUAUUUGGGAACAAGUUUUGUAACCCUAGUCUGUGAUUAUAAAUAGAUAGCCUUGUACUUGUAAUUAAUCAUCACGGGUGGUGAGGCAUAAAGCAAUAAAAAAUCCUGGUUGCAAACUAUGGACAUAGGUUUCCAUCGAAACCGAAUCAUGUAAA
Molecule: long non-coding RNA, 1325 nt
Organism: Helianthus annuus (common sunflower)
Lineage: Eukaryota; Viridiplantae; Streptophyta; Magnoliopsida; Asterales; Asteraceae
Exons: 4
Source: RefSeq, a predicted model, not a curated record